RNAcentral lists this ribosomal RNA (375 nucleotides) under uncultured bacterium. Its description in RNAcentral is "bacterial SSU rRNA". It matches the Rfam family "Bacterial small subunit ribosomal RNA", at positions 523 to 898 of the family's 1533-position model. The record is from RNAcentral.
AUACGUAGGUGGCAAGCGUUGUCCGGAUUUACUGGGCGUAAAGGAUGCGUAGGCGGAUAUUUAAGUGAGAUGUGAAAUCCCUAAGCUUAACUUGGGAGCUGCAUUUCAAACUGGAUGUCUAGAGUGCAGGUGAGGAGAAUGGAAUUCCUAGUGUAGCGGUGAAAUGCGUAGAGAUUAGGAAGAACACCAGUGGCGAAGGCGAUUCUCUGGACUGUAACUGACGCUGAGGCAUGAAAGCGUGGGUAGCAAACAGGAUUAGAUACCCUGGUAGUCCACGCCGUAAACGAUGAGUACUAGGUGUAGGAGGGUCCAACCUUCUGUGCCGCAGUUAACACAAUAAGUACUCCGCCUGGGAAGUACGAUCGCAAGAUUAAA